Molecule: long non-coding RNA, 471 nt
Filed under: Stegodyphus dumicola
Lineage: Eukaryota; Metazoa; Arthropoda; Arachnida; Araneae; Eresidae
Description: uncharacterized LOC118192229, transcript variant X1
Source: RNAcentral
UUUUUUUAGGUUUUCAAGACUAAUUUACUCCUGUGUUAUUGCCCUCCUCCUUUGGUACCAGGCAGAAAUCGGAAACCACAAAAGAAUGAAUCUGUUCGAACAUAGUUGUUAAAAAAGAUUUUAAUUCAGUUUCAUUUUCUGUCCUUUAAAAUAGUUUGAAAUAGUCGUUUCCAGCUCAUGGAUGAGUUCGAAGAUCAUUUCGCAAAACUGACGUAUCAGUUGAGUAAAUUUUAAUUUUAAUUCUGAAAAUCAAUACGUCUGAGAAAAGGACCCGAUUGACAGAUGAGCAUCUAGAAUCGGUGAUAAAAAUCUUUAUUCAAGGCUACAAAUUUUGUCAGAAUCGAAAUGCCAUUAAGUAUCAAGUUGUAGUAAGAAAUAAAGAAAUUUAUAAUCGUUUACAUUCAAAUGCAUGUAUUUUUUUUUCGUGUGUUGAAGAAAAUUUAAUAAAUAAAAGAAGGAAUGCUGUCAUUA